Molecule: ribosomal RNA, 484 nt
Filed under: uncultured bacterium
Lineage: Bacteria
Description: bacterial SSU rRNA
Rfam family: Bacterial small subunit ribosomal RNA
Source: RNAcentral
AUUGAACGCUGGCGGCAUGCUUUACACAUGCAAGUCGAACGGUAACAGGGAGCUUGCUCCGCUGACGAGUGGCGAACGGGUGAGUAAUGCAUCGGAACGUACCCAGUCGUGGGGGAUAACGUAGCGAAAGUUACGCUAAUACCGCAUACGUCCUGAGGGAGAAAGCGGGGGACCGUAAGGCCUCGCGCGAUUGGAGCGGCCGAUGUCGGAUUAGCUAGUUGGUAGGGUAAAGGCCUACCAAGGCGACGAUCCGUAGCGGGUCUGAGAGGAUGAUCCGCCACACUGGGACUGAGACACGGCCCAGACUCCUACGGGAGGCAGCAGUGGGGAAUUUUGGACAAUGGGCGAAAGCCUGAUCCAGCCAUGCCGCGUGAGUGAAGAAGGCCUUCGGGUUGUAAAGCUCUUUCGGCUGGGAAGAAAUCGCAUCUCCUAAUACGGGGUGUGGAUGACGGUACCAGCAUGAGAAGCACCGGCUAACUACGUG